AAUCAACGCUGGCGGCGUGCCUCAGACAUGCAAGUCGAACGAUUAAGACUUCCUUCGGGAAGUGCAUAAAGUGGCGCACGGGUGAGUAACACGUAAGUAAUCUACCCUCGAGUGGGGAAUAACGUUCGGAACGGACGCUAAUACCGCAUAACGCAGCGGCACCGCAAGGUGACAGUUGUUAAAGGAGCAAUCCGCUUGAGGAGGAGCUUGCGGCAGAUUAGCUAGUUGGUAGGGUAAUGGCUUACCAAGGCUACGAUCUGUAUCCGGUCUAAGAGGACGGUCGGACACACUGACACUGAAUAACGGGUCAGACUCCUACGGGAGGCAGCAGUCGGGAAUUUUGGACAAUGGGCGAAAGCCUGACCCAGCAACGCCGCGUGAAGGAUGAAGUAUUCGGUAUGUAAAC
RNAcentral lists this ribosomal RNA (406 nucleotides) under uncultured bacterium. RNAcentral's name for it is "bacterial SSU rRNA". It matches the Rfam family "Bacterial small subunit ribosomal RNA", at positions 32 to 430 of the family's 1533-position model. The record is from RNAcentral.